CUGGCGGCGUGCCUAAUACAUGCAAGUCGAACGCACUCUCGUUUAGAUUGAAGGAGCUUGCUCCUGAUUGAUAAACAUUGAGUGAGUGGCGGACGGGUGAGUAACACGUGGGUAACCUGCCCUAAAGUGGGGGAUAACAUUUGGAAACAGAUGCUGAUACCGCAUAAAACCUAACACCGCAUGGUGUAGGGUUGAAAGAUGGUUUCGGCUAUCACUUUAGGAUGGACCCGCGGUGCAUUAGUUAGUUGGUGAGGUAAAGGCUCACCAAGACCGUGAUGCAUAGCCGACCUGAGAGGGUAAUCGGCCACACUGGGACUGAGACACGGCCCAGACUCCUACGGGAGGCAGCAGUAGGGAAUCUUCCACAAUGGACGAAAGUCUGAUGGAGCAACGCCGCGUGAGUGAAGAAGGUUUUCGGAUCGUAAAACUCUGUUGUUGGAGAAGAAUGUAUUUGAUAGUAACUGAUCAGGUAGUGACGGUAUCCAACCAGAAAGCCACGGCUAACUACGUG
RNAcentral lists this ribosomal RNA (511 nucleotides) under uncultured bacterium. Its description in RNAcentral is "bacterial SSU rRNA". It matches the Rfam family "Bacterial small subunit ribosomal RNA", at positions 36 to 507 of the family's 1533-position model. The record is from RNAcentral.